CCCCUGCGUGCCUAGUACGGCGAGUGAGCGGCAACAGCUCAAAUUUGAAAGCUGGCUCCGGCCCGCAUUGUAAUUUGCAGAGGAUGCUUUUGGCGAGGUGCCUUCCGAGUUCCCUGGAACGGGACGCCAUAGAGGGUGAGAGCCCCGUAUGGAUGGACACCAAACCUGUGUAAAGCUCCUUCAACGAGUCGAGUAGUUUGGGAAUGCUGCUCUAAAUGGGAGGUAAAUCUCUUCUAAAGCUAAAUACCGGCCAGAGACCGAUAGCGCACAAGUAGAGUGAUCGAAAGAUGAAAAGCACCUUGAAAAGGGGGUUAAACAGUACGUGAAAUUGUUGAAAGGGAAGCGCUUGUGACCAGACUUGCGCCGGGCAGCUCAUCAGGGGUUCUCCCCUGUGCACUCUGCCCGGCUCAGGCCAGCAUCGGUUCUCGUGGGAGGAUAAGAACAGUGGGAACGUGGCCCCCUCUCGGGGGGGUGUUAUAGCCCAUUGUACGAUACUCUCGUGGGGACCGAGGUUCGCGCUCCGCAAGGAUGCUGGCGUAAUGGUCAUCAGCGACCCGUCUGA
RNAcentral lists this ribosomal RNA (562 nucleotides) under Cytospora hoffmannii. RNAcentral's name for it is "partial 28S ribosomal RNA". It matches the Rfam family "Eukaryotic large subunit ribosomal RNA", at positions 68 to 656 of the family's 3401-position model. Lineage: Eukaryota; Fungi; Ascomycota; Sordariomycetes; Diaporthales; Cytosporaceae. The record is from RNAcentral.